GUUCGAGGCGGGGGGGUGGGCAGGAGCAGGCGCGGGCUCGUCUCUGCUCUGGCUCCCGCAUGAUGGUGGCCACGCUGGGCCCGUGGCUGCUGGCCCUAGCCUUGGCCUUGGGGUCGGCAGGAGUGUGGGCGCAGAUCAGGCUGGAGGAGACCGGCGGAGGGCUGCGAGCGCCCGGGGACUCCGUGCUCUUCUCCUGCCGCGGAUACGGCUUUAGGUUCGAGGAAUAUAACAUUCGGUGGUACCGUCAGGCACCCGGAGGCAGACUCGAGUGGGUGUCCAUCAUCAGCUUUGAUUCUUCAAUCGCUAAAUUUGUGCAGUCCAUGGAGAGUCGAGCUAACGUCUCCCGGGACAAUUCCCGGUCUGAGGCAUCUCUGUCCCUGCGUGCCCUGCAGCCUCAGGACUCUGCUCGCUACUUCUGCACCGUGUAUCUUCACACGGAGACAGGAAAAGCAGCUGAGCUUUAACAUAAACGUGCUGUGCCCGCCCGGGGUGCAAAAGCUGUGGGGCGAGUGAGUGCUGCAACAUCUAUGAGGGAAAGCUCAGGGCUGUUGGCAGGGAGUGAGGGACCAUCAGUGUUCAUCACAGGGAUUCCAGUCUUGUCUUGCACACUGAAGGAAAUAUAAUCGAUCCCAAACUAAAAAAGAGCGGGAAUGUGAGAAGCAGAAUAAA
Molecule: non-coding RNA, 669 nt
Organism: Neopsephotus bourkii (Bourke's parrot)
Lineage: Eukaryota; Metazoa; Chordata; Aves; Psittaciformes; Psittacidae
Source: the annotation of a RefSeq genome assembly